GCUGCUUCUUACUGGUGAACUCUUCCUUGUAUAAUCAAAGUGGGAGAUGUUCAUGUUUCCGAAGCAUAAAUUAAUUAGCCAGUAUUAAACAGCACAGCAUUUUCCCCAUUUUUGCUGUGUUACCUGUCUCCUGGUAUAUUU
Molecule: non-coding RNA, 141 nt
Organism: Jatropha curcas
Lineage: Eukaryota; Viridiplantae; Streptophyta; Magnoliopsida; Malpighiales; Euphorbiaceae
Source: Rfam